GAGUUUGAUCUUGGCUCAGAUUGAACGCUGGCGGCAUGCCUUACACAUGCAAGUCGAACGGCAGCACGGGAGCUUGCUCCUGGUGGCGAGUGGCGAACGGGUGAGUAAUGCAUCGGAACGUAUCCUGGAGUGGGGGAUAACGUAGCGAAAGUUACGCUAAUACCGCAUAUUCUGUGAGCAGGAAAGCGGGGGACCUUCGGGCCUCGCGCUCUUGGAGCGGCCGAUGUCGGAUUAGCUAGUUGGUGAGGUAAAGGCUCACCAAGGCGACGAUCCGUAGCAGGUCUGAGAGGAUGAUCUGCCACACUGGAACUGAGACACGGUCCUGACUCCUACGGGAGGCAGCAGUGGGGAAUUUUGGACAAUGGGGGCAACCCUGAUCCAGCCAUGCCGCGUGAGUGAAGAAGGCCUCGGUUGUAAG
RNAcentral lists this ribosomal RNA (418 nucleotides) under bacterium enrichment culture clone ALO1_GLFRUDD03GA04A. RNAcentral describes it as "bacterial SSU rRNA". It matches the Rfam family "Bacterial small subunit ribosomal RNA", at positions 9 to 429 of the family's 1533-position model. The record is from RNAcentral.